UGAGUGGUAUCUGUGGUCUCGCUGU
Molecule: non-coding RNA, 25 nt
Filed under: Rattus norvegicus (Norway rat)
Lineage: Eukaryota; Metazoa; Chordata; Mammalia; Rodentia; Muridae
Source: RNAcentral